RNAcentral lists this ribosomal RNA (491 nucleotides) under uncultured bacterium. RNAcentral describes it as "partial 16S ribosomal RNA". It matches the Rfam family "Bacterial small subunit ribosomal RNA", at positions 28 to 507 of the family's 1533-position model. The record is from RNAcentral.
GAUGAACGCUGGCUCCAGGCUUAACACAUGCGAGUCGAGGGGAAACGACGGGGAAGCUUGCUUCCCCGGGCGUCGACCGGCGCACGGGUGAGUAACGCGUAUCCAACCUGCCUCUGACUGAGGGAUAACCCGUCGAAAGUCGGCCUAAUACCUCAUGGUAUCGUCUGCGGGCAUCCAACGACGAUUAAAGAUUUCAUCGGUCAGGGAUGGGGAUGCGUCUGAUUAGCUUGUUGGCGGGGUAACGGCCCACCAAGGCUACGAUCAGUAGGGGUUCUGAGAGGAAGGUCCCCCACAUUGGAACUGAGACACGGUCCAAACUCCUACGGGAGGCAGCAGUGAGGAAUAUUGGUAAAUGGGCGAGAGCCUGAACCAGCCAAGUAGCGUGCAGGAAGACGGCCCUAUGGGUUGUAAACUGCUUUUAUGCGGGGAUAAAGUGAGGGACGUGUCCCUCAUUGCAGGUACCGCAUGAAUAAGGACCGGCUAAUUCCGUG